CCGUCGCUGCCCGGGACUGAGCCAUUUCGAGAAAUUUGGGGACCGUUGAUUUAAUUUUUCUAAAUUACUUUGAUGGAAACCAAUUUAAUCGCAGUGGCUUGAACCGGGCAAAAGUCGUAACAAGGUAGCUGUAGGUGAACCUGCUGCUGGAUCAUUACUUUAUGUGAUGUUCAAAUUUGAAUUCGCAACAAAAAUAUACUGUUGUGAAACGGCUGUCGCUGGUGUCUAGGUGUUGCUGAUACAGUUGUUAACGUCCGUGGCUGUAUAUGUGGUGACAUGUUAGGACUCUUUAAUGAGUUUAAGACUUAAUGAGCCUCUUAAGUGAGGACGCCAGCACUCUUUUUUUCUCUAUAUUUUUUAAAAAAACGAAAAUUUCUAGCCUUAUCGGUGGAUCACUCGGCUCGUGGAUCGAUGAAGAACCCAGCAAACUGCGAUAAUUUGUGCGAACUGCAGAAACCUUGAGCACAAAAGUUUUGAACGCAUAUUGCAGCCUUGGGGUCAAACCCUUUGCUACGUCUGGUUCAGGGUCAUUUUCUUUUAAAGCGAAAGCUUUAAUUUAUAUAUGCUAUUGAUGCUUUAUAUUUUAAGAGGUUUGUUGUUUGUCAUAAUUUUAUAAAUAUAACUACAAAAAUCAAGCAACUUUGAC
This 646-nucleotide unclassified non-coding RNA is filed under the name Meloidogyne luci. RNAcentral describes it as "sequence contains 18S rRNA gene, ITS1, 5.8S rRNA gene, ITS2 and 28S rRNA gene". The stretch from base 1 to 157 matches the Rfam family "Eukaryotic small subunit ribosomal RNA", at positions 1673 to 1831 of the family's 1831-position model. The record is from RNAcentral. Lineage: Eukaryota; Metazoa; Nematoda; Chromadorea; Rhabditida; Meloidogynidae.